GGCCUCUGUGCUGUGGAGGCUCUGGGUGGGCACUGCUGCCCCUGUUUUGGGGGAGAAAGUGGCAUUUUUUUGCUCAGUGAGCCUGUUCACUGGUAAUAUAGCUCCUCACGGUGGGGGGGCACCAAGGCCUCUCUCCUCCCUGCCACAGGCCUAGUGGGGCCUGUGGAGCCCAUCAGGGCCAUGGGCCUAAUGACCCUUGGGAGCCAAAUGAGCUCUAAUUAGCCCCUGUUAGGCUCCACAGUGCUGGGCGCUGUCACAACUGUGCCCCUCUCUCACCACGAUUAAAACAAAGCCCGUUUGCAUGCCAAGCUGCCGGCUGCAGGCACGGUGUCACUGCAGCACAUGGAGAUGUGCCCGAGCUGGAAGGUCGGGUCUGUUUUACGGCUCCAAACCCACCCGGACCCGCUGAUUUAUGAGAUCCGUCUGCAGCAGGCUGCAUGCGGCUGCUGCCUUGCUGAACUGGCAGCUGCAGGGUGGAUGAGCUCCCAGGCCUCAGCAACAGGUUUCCAAGGCGGAUCAGGGGAAACUGAGGCAAAGGAGUUUAAGGAGAAGACCUUCUCAGCCCAUGACUGUGGCACAAUUGCGGCGGCCGUGAGCAACACCAGCUUCAGUGAGGAGCCGUGCAUGCGAGGCAGAGGCGGCAGAGGAGGAGGCUCCACGGAGAGCUUCCAACCCUGAAGACGACGAAUUCAUGCAGAUGUUGUGCAGAUGGGCAGCGGCCGUGGGUGGCCGGGAGGUAGUAGAUCUGACACCAAGCUGCUGAGAUGAAAACUUGACCUGAGCUCCCUCGUUGUCUCUUCUCCCACUGCCCAGGCUAGCCCUGGAACGAAUCACCCGGGAUGCCGGGUCAUGCGCAAUUCUCCUUGGCAGGAGCUGCCAAAACUUAGUCUAAAUAGAGGACUGUUAAAUCAGGCAAAUUCUCGUCCAGGACCUCUCAGCUGCUAUUUAUAAAAGCUGCUGCUUUCCUUAGAGCUGAGCUGAAGAGCAUGGAAGGCUCAAGCAAUCUGGAAGAGGCUAAGCAAACCAACUGGAGCAGCGUGUCUGGUUUGAAGACAGCGCC
This 1060-nucleotide long non-coding RNA is filed under the name Struthio camelus australis. RNAcentral's name for it is "lncRNA (ENSSCUG00000009189.1)". The record is from RNAcentral. Lineage: Eukaryota; Metazoa; Chordata; Aves; Struthioniformes; Struthionidae.